Molecule: ribosomal RNA, 206 nt
Filed under: uncultured bacterium
Lineage: Bacteria
Description: partial 16S ribosomal RNA
Rfam family: Bacterial small subunit ribosomal RNA
Source: RNAcentral
CACGUAGGCGGACUCUUAAGUCGGUGGUGAAAUCCUGGAGCUCAACUCCAGAACUGCCUUCGAUACUGAGAGUCUCGAGUCCGGGAGAGGUGAGUGGAACUGCGAGUGUAGAGGUGAAAUUCGUAGAUAUUCGCAAGAACACCAGUGGCGAAGGCGGCUCACUGGCCCGGUACUGACGCUGAGGUGCGAAAGCGUGGGAGCAAACA